CGGCUCCAUCAUAGAAGGACCAGUGUGUUAUCUAUUUUUGGCAGUCUACGACAGUAUACAUUUUGAGUAGAGGAUACUUCCUGUUGCACAUCUGCUUCAUGUUGCAUCACUCAUGCCCUGAACGCUCAAGAAUUAAGCGCGCGUGACCUGAGCACCCAGGAAUUAAGCCAGCUGUCCCAACCACGUGAGAGCCAUGCAGAAUUUGGAACACCAUGAGGCCAGGGGAUUACAGUGAAAUAGCUGCCACCUACCAGACAGAUCCGACUUAGUACUAUAAAGGACCGAGAUUAUAAGAAGGGUCGCAGAUGAAGGAAGGGCCUCAGAUUUUGACUCACCAUCUCAGCAGCAACAGUCCCCCUUUCCCCUAUCUCAUGGAGACUGCUCCUGCUCCAUGUGUUCAAUUGCUCUCUCUCUCUCUCUCUUUCUCUCUCUCUCUCUCCAUUGUGCUUUCCCUCAAUAGACCACCAUUGAAGAUGAAUAGGCCCAGGCUAUCAGGUAUCUUCCACGUGCCUCAUUGCUGGAAGCGGAUUCUUGUAUCAUGACUCUGGGAGUCCAUCAUAUCUCUGCUGUCUUUAUUUCCACCGAGACUGAGUAAUGUCAGUUCACUCCAGUCUACAACAGCGAGGCG
Macrobrachium nipponense is the source of this 628-nucleotide long non-coding RNA. RefSeq lists it as uncharacterized. The transcript has 3 exons. Lineage: Eukaryota; Metazoa; Arthropoda; Malacostraca; Decapoda; Palaemonidae. The record is from RefSeq and is a predicted model, not a curated record.